This 253-nucleotide ribosomal RNA is filed under the name uncultured bacterium. RNAcentral's name for it is "partial 16S ribosomal RNA". It matches the Rfam family "Bacterial small subunit ribosomal RNA", at positions 524 to 776 of the family's 1533-position model. The record is from RNAcentral.
UACGUAGGGUGCAAGCGUUAAUCGGAAUUACUGGGCGUAAAGCGUGCGCAGGCGGUGAUGUAAGACAGGUGUGAAAUCCCCGGGCUUAACCUGGGAACUGCAUUUGUGACUGCAUCGCUGGAGUGCGGCAGAGGGGGAUGGAAUUCCGCGUGUAGCAGUGAAAUGCGUAGAUAUGCGGAGGAACACCGAUGGCGAAGGCAAUCCCCUGGGCCUGCACUGACGCUCAUGCACGAAAGCCAGGGGAGCAAACGGG